RNAcentral lists this ribosomal RNA (660 nucleotides) under Triticum aestivum (bread wheat). RNAcentral describes it as "partial small subunit ribosomal RNA". Lineage: Eukaryota; Viridiplantae; Streptophyta; Magnoliopsida; Poales; Poaceae. The record is from RNAcentral.
AUGGCCAAGGACAAAGAGACCGGCGUGCGGCCUUUGUGCGCCGCUGGUGAUAGGAGAGCCAUGCCUCUCGAGACUUGCCACCUCGUCGCUCUGCUCCUCUUGCUACUCAUGGCUACUGGUCGCUGCCUCGCGGCCACCGGCGGUGGCGGCACCGAUGACGGUCGGGAGUUCGCCUACAACGGCUUCACAGGCGCGAACCUGACGCUCGAUGGCGCCGCCUUCACACCGGAUGGCCUCCUCAUGCUGACCAACGGCACCACUCAGGCAAAAGGCCAGGCCUUCCACCCGUCCCCGCUGCCGUUCCGCGUCGAGGCGAACGCCACCGGUGCCGCACGGUCCUUCUCCACUACUUUCGUCUUUGCCAUCUACGGGCAGUCCGCCAACCUAAGCAGCCCCGGCAUGGCCUUCUUCGUUUCCGAAUCCAAUGAGGUGAUCUCCACUGCGAUGCCAGGCCAGUUCUUGGGCCUCCUCAACCACACCGAUGGAGGUAACCGGAGCGAGCACAUCUUUGCCGUGGAGUUCGAUACGCUCUUCAACGACGACUUCCGCGACAUCAACAACAACCACGUCGGAGUCGACGUCGAUAGCUUGGUGUCGGUCGUAUCCGCAGUGCCCGGGUGUGGGUGGACUACGACGGCCGGGCCACACAGGUCAACGUGA